UACGUAGGGGGCGAGCGUUGUCCGGAAUUACUGGGCGUAAAGGGUGAGUAGGCGGUUUUUUAAGUUGGAUGUGAAAUACCCGGGCUUAACUUGGGGGGUGCAUUCAAAACUGUAGAACUAGAGUACAGGAGAGGAAAGCGGAAUUCCUAGUGUAGCGGUGAAAUGCGUAGAUAUUAGGAGGAACACCGGUGGCGAAGGCGGCUUUCUGGACUGAAACUGACGCUGAGGCACGAAAGCGUGGGGAGCAAACAGG
RNAcentral lists this ribosomal RNA (253 nucleotides) under uncultured bacterium. RNAcentral's name for it is "partial 16S ribosomal RNA". It matches the Rfam family "Bacterial small subunit ribosomal RNA", at positions 524 to 776 of the family's 1533-position model. The record is from RNAcentral.